AUUGAACGCUGGCGACAGGCCUAACACAUGCAAGUCGAACGGUAACAGGGAUCAGCUUGCUGAUUCGCUGACGAGUGGUGGACGGGUGAGUAAUGUCUGGGAAACUGCCUGAUGGAGGGGGAUAACUACUGGAAACGGUAGCUAAUACCGCAUAACGUCGCAAGACCAAAGAGGGGGACCUUCGGGCCUCUUGCCAUCGGAUGUGCCCAGAUGGGAUUAGCUAGUAGGUGGGGUAACGGCUCACCUAGGCGACGAUCCCUAGCUGGUCUGAGAGGAUGACCAGCCACACUGGAACUGAGACACGGUCCAGACUCCUACGGGAGGCAGCAGUGGGGAAUAUUGCACAAUGGGCGCAAGCCUGAUGCAGCCAUGCCGCGUGUAUGAAGAAGGCCUUCGGGUUGUAAAGUACUUUCAGCGGGGAGGAAGGGAGUAAAGUUAAUACCUUUGCUCAUUGACGUUACCCGCAGAAGAAGCACCGGCUAACUCCGUG
Molecule: ribosomal RNA, 490 nt
Filed under: uncultured bacterium
Lineage: Bacteria
Description: partial 16S ribosomal RNA
Rfam family: Bacterial small subunit ribosomal RNA
Source: RNAcentral